GGACGAACGCUGGCGGCGUGCUUAACACAUGCAAGUCGAGCGGUAAGGCCCUUUCGGGGGUACGACGAGCGGCGAACGGGUGAGUAACACGUGGGUGACCUGCCCUUAGCUCUGGGAUAAGCCUGGGAAACUGGGUCUAAUACCGGAUAUGACUCCAUGACGCAUGUUGUGGGGUGGAAAGCCUUGUGCGGCUAGGGAUGGGCCCGCGGCCUAUCAGCUUGUUGGUGGGGUGAUGGCCUACCAAGGCGACGACGGGUAGCCGGCCUGAGAGGGCGACCGGCCACACUGGGACUGAGACACGGCCCAGACUCCUACGGGAGGCAGCAGUGGGGAAGUCUUGCGCAAUGGGCGAAAGCCUGACGCAGCGACGCCGCGUGAGGGAUGACGGCCUCGG
Molecule: ribosomal RNA, 394 nt
Filed under: uncultured bacterium
Lineage: Bacteria
Description: bacterial SSU rRNA
Rfam family: Bacterial small subunit ribosomal RNA
Source: RNAcentral